AACGCUAGCUACAGGCUUAACACAUGCAAGUCGAGGGGCAGCAUGGUCUUAGCUUGCUAAGGCCGAUGGCGACCGGCGCACAGGUGAGUAACACGUAUCCAACCUGCCGUCUACUCUUGGACAGCCUUCUGAAAGGAAGAUUAAUACAAGAUGGCAUCAUGAGUCCGCAUGUUCACAUGAUUAAAGGUAUUCCGGUAGACGAUGGGGAUGCGUUCCAUUAGAUAGUAGGCGGGGUAACGGCCCACCUAGUCUUCGAUGGAUAGGGGUUCUGAGAGGAAGGUCCCCCACAUUGGAACUGAGACACGGUCCAAACUCCUACGGGAGGCAGCAGUGAGGAAUAUUGGUCAAUGGGCGAGAGCCUGAACCAGCCAAGUAGCGUGAAGGAUGACUGCCCUAUGGGUUGUAAACUUCUUUUAUAAAGGAAUAAAGUCGGGUAUGGAUACCCGUUUGCAUGUACUUUAUGAAUAAGGAUCGGCUAACUCCGUGCCAGCAGCCGCGGUAAUACGGAGGAUCCGAGCGUUAUCCGGAUUUAUUGGGUUUAAAGGGAGCGUAGAUGGAUGUUUAAGUCAGUUGUGAAAGUUUGCGGCUCAACCGUAAAAUUGCAGUUGAUACUGGAUGUCUUGAGUGCAGUUGAGGCAGGCGGAAUUCGUGGUGUAGCGGUGAAAUGCUUAGAUAUCACGAAGAACUCCGAUUG
Molecule: ribosomal RNA, 694 nt
Filed under: uncultured bacterium
Lineage: Bacteria
Description: bacterial SSU rRNA
Rfam family: Bacterial small subunit ribosomal RNA
Source: RNAcentral